AUUGAACGCUGGCGGCAUGCUUUACACAUGCAAGUCGAACGGUAACAGGCCGCAAGGUGCUGACGAGUGGCGAACGGGUGAGUAAUGCAUCGGAACGUGCCCAGUCGUGGGGGAUAACGCAGCGAAAGUUGCGCUAAUACCGCAUACGAUCUAUGGAUGAAAGCGGGGGACCGUAAGGCCUCGCGCGAUUGGAGCGGCCGAUGUCAGAUUAGGUAGUUGGUGGGGUAAAGGCUCACCAAGCCGACGAUCUGUAGCUGGUCUGAGAGGACGACCAGCCACACUGGGACUGAGACACGGCCCAGACUCCUACGGGAGGCAGCAGUGGGGAAUUUUGGACAAUGGGCGCAAGCCUGAUCCAGCAAUGCCGCGUGCAGGAAGAAGGCCUUUGGGUUGUAAACUGCUUUUGUACGGAACGAAACGGUCCUGGUUAAUACCCGGGGCUAAUGACGGUACCGUAAGAAUAAGCACCGGCUAACUACGUGCCAGCCGCCGCCGUAA
This 498-nucleotide ribosomal RNA is filed under the name uncultured bacterium. Its description in RNAcentral is "partial 16S ribosomal RNA". It matches the Rfam family "Bacterial small subunit ribosomal RNA", at positions 30 to 523 of the family's 1533-position model. The record is from RNAcentral.